This 614-nucleotide ribosomal RNA is filed under the name uncultured cyanobacterium. RNAcentral describes it as "bacterial SSU rRNA". It matches the Rfam family "Bacterial small subunit ribosomal RNA", at positions 122 to 770 of the family's 1533-position model. Lineage: Bacteria; Bacillati; Cyanobacteriota. The record is from RNAcentral.
GAAUCUGGCUUCAGGUUCGGGACAACAGUUGGAAACGGCUGCUAAUACCGGAUGUGCCUUAGGGUGAAAGAUUUAUCACCUGAAGAUGAGCUCGCGUCUGAUUAGCUAGUAGGUGUGGUAAGAGCGCACCUAGGCGACGAUCAGUAGCUGGUCUGAGAGGAUGAUCAGCCACACUGGGACUGAGACACGGCCCAGACUCCUACGGGAGGCAGCAGUGGGGAAUUUUCCGCAAUGGGCGAAAGCCUGACGGAGCAAUACCGCGUGAGGGAGGAAGGCUCUUGGGUUGUAAACCUCUUUUCUCAGGGAAGAAUGAUGACGGUACCUGAGGAAUAAGCAUCGGCUAACUCCGUGCCAGCAGCCGCGGUAAUACGGAGGAUGCAAGCGUUAUCCGGAAUGAUUGGGCGUAAAGCGUCCGCAGGUGGCAAUGUAAGUCUGCUGUCAAAGCGUCUGGCUCAACCAGAUAAAAGCAGUGGAAACUACAUAGCUAGAGUAAGGUAGGGGUAGAGGGAAUUCCUGGUGUAGCGGUGAAAUGCGUAGAGAUCAGGAAGAACACCGGUGGCGAAAGCGCUCUGCUGGACCUUAACUGACACUGAGGGACGAAAGCUAGGGGAGCG